Molecule: long non-coding RNA, 494 nt
Organism: Xenia sp. Carnegie-2017
Lineage: Eukaryota; Metazoa; Cnidaria; Anthozoa; Malacalcyonacea; Xeniidae
Exons: 4
Source: RefSeq, a predicted model, not a curated record
UAACGUUUUGGAAAGAAACGGCUAAAUUAAUAAGUAAACGAGUAGUCCAAUUUCAAAAUCACACUAUUUACAAUGACAAAAAAUUAUGAAUAAUCAAUCGACAGUUACCAAACAGAUCAACCAUUCUCGAUCGUCACCUUUUUAUAACCAUUUUGGAACAAAGCUGCCGCGAGAUCUUUCUUUUGAAGCAUCACACCGAAGAAUUAAAUCUUCGCUUGGUAUCGCAAGGUGACCACAUAACUUGUGAAAUUGAGCCACCAAUACGAUGAAGAGCUGUACCACAAUCCAUAGCGACAUCCCAAACCUAUUAUUGUAAAAACGGUAGACUUCAACUAGAUGAAACGAGAUUUCAAAAUGUACAAAAUGUCCAAAGUGAGUAAAACGUUCAGGAAAAACGACAUCAACGGAAUUAUUCGACACAAUAAAACGCAUAAAAUACGAAAAACAUACUAGUAUUGAAUUUAAAGAAAUUUAAUAAACUUGAAACUAUCAAA